Molecule: ribosomal RNA, 441 nt
Filed under: uncultured bacterium
Lineage: Bacteria
Description: bacterial SSU rRNA
Rfam family: Bacterial small subunit ribosomal RNA
Source: RNAcentral
AUGAACGCUGGCGGCGUGCCUAAUACAUGCAAGUCGAGCGGUAAGGCUCCUUCGGGAGUACACGAGCGGCGGACGGGUGAGUAGCGCGUAAGAAUGUACCCCAAAGUGAGGGAUAAGCACCAGAAAUGGUGUCUAAUACCGCAUGUGCUCUUCGGAGUAAAGCUACGGCGCUUUGGGAACAGCUUGCGUACGAUUAGCUAGUUGGUAAGGUAAUGGCUUACCAAGGCGACGAUCGUUAGCUGGUCUGAGAGGAUGAUCAGCCACACUGGGACUGAGACACGGCCCAGACUCCUACGGGAGGCAGCAGUAGGGAAUUUUCCACAAUGGGGGCAACCCUGAUGGAGCAACGCCGCGUGAUGGAUGAAGGCCUUCGGGUUGUAAACAUCUUUUCUCUGUGACGAAUAUGACGGUAGCAGAGGAAUAAGGGUCGGCUAACUACGU